AUGCACAGUUCGGGACCCCCUACCCGAGAUCCGCUGGUUUUGACACUGACAAUCCUCGUGUGGAACUGUCGUGGUGCUGGCAAACCAGCGACAGUUCGAGAGCUUUGCAAUUUAGCGAAGCAGUUUGUCCCCUCUAUUGUAUGCAUUGUUGAAACUCAGUUAGAGGGUAGUCGUGUGAAAAUUUUAGCUGAUACUCUUGGUUACAAUAAAGCUUUUGCGGUUAGUAGCUCUGGUAGGAGUGGUGGUUUAGGUGUGUUC
Molecule: ribosomal RNA, 258 nt
Filed under: Triticum aestivum (bread wheat)
Lineage: Eukaryota; Viridiplantae; Streptophyta; Magnoliopsida; Poales; Poaceae
Description: partial small subunit ribosomal RNA
Source: RNAcentral